CCAGACUCCUACGGGAGGCAGCAGUGGGGAAUAUUGGGCAAUGGGCGCAAGCCUGACCCAGCAAUGCCGCGUGAAGGAAGAAGGCCUUCGGGUUGUAAACUUCUUUUAUCAGGGACGAAGGAUGUGACGGUACCUGAUGAAUAAGCUCCGGCUAACUACGUGCCAGCAGCCGCGGUAAUACGUAGGGAGCAAGCGUUAUCCGGAUUUAUUGGGUUUAAAGGGUGCGCAGGCGGAAGCGCAAGUCAGCGGUAAAAUGGGGGGGCUCACCCUCUCCCCGCCGUUGAAACUGCGUUUCUUGAGUGGGCGAGAAGUACGCGGAAUGCGUGGUGUAGCGGUGAAAUGCAUAGAUAUCACGCAGAACUCCGAUUGCGAAGGCAGCGUACCGGCGCCCAACUGACGCUCAUGCACGAAAGCGUGGGUAUCGAACAGGAUUAGAUACCCUCGUA
This 446-nucleotide ribosomal RNA is filed under the name uncultured bacterium. RNAcentral describes it as "bacterial SSU rRNA". It matches the Rfam family "Bacterial small subunit ribosomal RNA", at positions 331 to 792 of the family's 1533-position model. The record is from RNAcentral.